UGAUAACUAACCGCUGUCCAC
Molecule: non-coding RNA, 21 nt
Filed under: Caenorhabditis elegans
Lineage: Eukaryota; Metazoa; Nematoda; Chromadorea; Rhabditida; Rhabditidae
Source: RNAcentral